Molecule: non-coding RNA, 507 nt
Filed under: uncultured Glomeromycotina
Lineage: Eukaryota; Fungi; Glomeromycota
Also listed under: 1 other name
Description: partial small subunit ribosomal RNA
Rfam family: Eukaryotic small subunit ribosomal RNA
Source: RNAcentral
CCAAUAGCGUAUAUUAAAGUUGUUGCAGUUAAAAAGCUCGUAGUUGAAUUUCGGGAUUGACACAUCGGUCGUGCCUUAAGGGGUAUGAACUGGUGUAGUCAAUUUCUCACCUUCUGGAGAACCGCGAUGUCCUUAAUUGGGUGCCGCGAGGAACCAGGACCUUUACUUUGAAAAAAUUAGAGUGUUUAAAGCAGGCAUUUUUGCUUGAAUACAUUAGCAUGGAAUAAUAAAAUAGGACGGCAUGAUUCUAUUUUGUUGGUUUCUAGGAUCACCGUAAUGAUUAAUAGGGAUAGUUGGGGGCAUUAGUAUUCAAUUGUCAGAGGUGAAAUUCUUGGAUUUAUUGAAGACUAACUACUGCGAAAGCAUUUGCCAAGGAUGUUUUCAUUAAUCAAGAACGAAAGUUAGGGGAUCGAAGACGAUCAGAUACCGUCGUAGUCUUAACCAUAAACUAUGCCGACUAGGAAUCAGACGAUGUUAAUUUUUUAAUGACUCGUUUGGCACCUUACG